Camelus ferus (Wild Bactrian camel) is the source of this 75-nucleotide non-coding RNA. Lineage: Eukaryota; Metazoa; Chordata; Mammalia; Artiodactyla; Camelidae. The record is from Rfam.
GGAAGGGUACAGCUCAAGUGGUAGAGUGCCUGCUUGGCAUGCAUGAGGUCCUGGGUUCAGUCCCCAGUAAUUCCU